This 74-nucleotide transfer RNA is filed under the name Loxodonta africana (African savanna elephant). It matches the Rfam family "tRNA". From Rfam's summary of the family: Transfer RNA (tRNA) molecules are approximately 80 nucleotides in length. Their secondary structure includes four short double-helical elements and three loops (D, anti-codon, and T loops). Further hydrogen bonds mediate the characteristic L-shaped molecular structure. tRNAs have two regions of fundamental functional importance: the anti-codon, which is responsible for specific mRNA codon recognition, and the 3' end, to which the tRNAs corresponding amino acid is attached (by aminoacyl-tRNA synthetases). tRNAs cope with the degeneracy of the genetic code in two manners: having more than one tRNA (with a specific anti-codon) for a particular amino acid; and 'wobble' base-pairing, i.e. permitting non-standard base-pairing at the 3rd anti-codon position. The record is from Rfam by way of RNAcentral. Lineage: Eukaryota; Metazoa; Chordata; Mammalia; Proboscidea; Elephantidae.
CCUUGGGUGGUGUAAACAGUUAACACGCUCGGCUGCUAAGCCGGAGGUUGGUGGUUCGAGUCCACCCAGAGGCA